CAAACAACAGGAUCAGCAGGGUCUCCGCGGAGCAGCUCAGACCCUUCCUCGCUCUGGAAACACUCGACCUCAGCAACAACAACAUGGUGGAAAUCAAGGCGGGCUCCUUCCCCGCGCUGGCCCUCAGGAACCUGUACCUCAACAACAAUCGGAUCUCCUCCCUGGAGACGGGCUGCUUCACCAACCUGUCCAGCAGUCUGCAGCUCCUCCGGCUCAACCGCAACCGCCUGGCCUCCAUCCCAGCCAAGAUCUUCACGCUGCCCCACCUGCUGCACCUGGAGCUGAGCAGGAACAGGGUCCGCAGGGUGGAGGG
Notothenia coriiceps (black rockcod) is the source of this 313-nucleotide long non-coding RNA. RefSeq lists it as uncharacterized. The record is from RefSeq and is a predicted model, not a curated record. Lineage: Eukaryota; Metazoa; Chordata; Actinopteri; Perciformes; Nototheniidae. The transcript has 3 exons.